Molecule: ribosomal RNA, 314 nt
Filed under: uncultured bacterium
Lineage: Bacteria
Description: bacterial SSU rRNA
Rfam family: Bacterial small subunit ribosomal RNA
Source: RNAcentral
GAUGAACGCUAGCUACAGGCUUAACACAUGCAAGUCGAGGGGCAGCAUGAACUUAGCUUGCUAAGUUUGAUGGCGACCGGCGCACGGGUGAGUAACACGUAUCCAACCUGCCGAUGACUCGGGGAUAGCCUUUCGAAAGAAAGAUUAAUACCCGAUGGCAUAGUUCUUCCGCAUGGUAGGACUAUUAAAGAAUUUCGGUCAUCGAUGGGGAUGCGUUCCAUUAGCUUGUUGGCGGGGUAACGGCCCACCAAGGCAUCGAUGGAUAGGGGGUCUGAGAGGAAGGUCCGCCACAUUGGAACUGAGACACGGUCCAA